RNAcentral lists this unclassified non-coding RNA (378 nucleotides) under plant metagenome. RNAcentral's name for it is "partial contains 5.8S ribosomal RNA, internal transcribed spacer 2, and large subunit ribosomal RNA". The stretch from base 1 to 105 matches the Rfam family "5.8S ribosomal RNA", at positions 50 to 154 of the family's 154-position model. The record is from RNAcentral.
GAAAGGAGAUAAGUAAUGUGAAUUGCAGAAUUCAGUGAAUCAUCGAAUCUUUGAACGCACCUUGCGCUCCUUGGUAUUCCUUGGAGCAUGCCUGUUUGAGUAUCAUGAAAUCUUCAAAGUAAAUCUUUUGUUAACUCAAUUGGUUUCUACUUUGGUAUUGGAGGUCUUUGCAGCUUCACACCUGCUCCUCUUUGUUCAUUAGCUGGAUCUCAGUGUUAUGCUUGGUUCCACUCGGCGUGAUAAGUUAUCUAUCGCUGAGGACACUGUAAAAGGUGGCCAAGGUAAAUGCAGAUGAACCGCUUCUAAUAGUCCAUUGACUUGGACAAUACUUUUAUGAUCUGAUCUCAAAUCAGGUAGGACUACCCGCUGAACUUAAGC